Molecule: non-coding RNA, 61 nt
Organism: Eubacterium sp. CAG:786
Lineage: Bacteria; Bacillati; Bacillota; Clostridia; Eubacteriales; Eubacteriaceae
Source: Rfam
AUAAUGAUACUUCCGGCGACGGCUUGUCCCACAGGAAUGGGAAGGGGUGAAAGUCCCAUGC